This 774-nucleotide ribosomal RNA is filed under the name uncultured bacterium. Its description in RNAcentral is "bacterial SSU rRNA". It matches the Rfam family "Bacterial small subunit ribosomal RNA", at positions 94 to 863 of the family's 1533-position model. The record is from RNAcentral.
AGUGGCGAACGGGUGAGUAAAGUAUCGGAACGUACCUUUCAGUGGGGGAUAACGCAGCGAAAGUUGCGCUAAUACCGCAUAUUCUGUGAGCAGGAAAGCAGGGGAUCACAAGACCUUGCGCUGAUUGAGCGGCCGAUAUCAGAUUAGCUAGUUGGUGAGGUAAAGGCUCACCAAGGCGACGAUCUGUAGCGGGUCUGAGAGGAUGAUCCGCCACACUGGAACUGAGACACGGUCCAGACUCCUACGGGAGGCAGCAGUGGGGAAUUUUGGACAAUGGGGGCAACCCUGAUCCAGCCAUGCCGCGUGAGUGAAGAAGGCCUUCGGGUUGUAAAGCUCUUUCAGCCGGGAAGAAAUCGCACAGGCUAAUACCUUGUGUGGAUGACGGUACCGGAAUAAGAAGCACCGGCUAACUACGUGCCAGCAGCCGCGGUAAUACGUAGGGUGCGAGCGUUAAUCGGAAUUACUGGGCGUAAAGCGUGCGCAGGCGGUUUUGUAAGACAGGCGUGAAAUCCCCGGGCUCAACCCGGGAACUGCGCUUGUGACUGCAAGGCUAGAGUACGGCAGAGGGGGGUGGAAUUCCACGUGUAGCAGUGAAAUGCGUAGAGAUGUGGAGGAACACCAAUGGCGAAGGCAGCCCCCUGGGUCGAUACUGACGCUCAUGCACGAAAGCGUGGGUAGCAAACAGGAUUAGAUACCCUGGUAGUCCACGCCCUAAACGAUGUCAACUAGGUGUUGGGUGGGUAAAACCAUUUAGUACCGGAGCUAACGCGUGAA